GGACGUGCUCUCUCUGGUACGUCAUUAUCGUCCUGAGACAGAGCUUUACGAUCCGAAGACCUUCAUCACUCACGCGGCGUUGCUGCGUCAGGGUUUCCCCCAUUGUGCAAUAUUCCCCACUGCUGCCUCCCGUAGA
RNAcentral lists this ribosomal RNA (136 nucleotides) under uncultured Clostridium sp. Its description in RNAcentral is "partial 16S ribosomal RNA". Lineage: Bacteria; Bacillati; Bacillota; Clostridia; Eubacteriales; Clostridiaceae. The record is from RNAcentral.